AUGGAUCUCCCAGAAGAGGUGCUCGCCGACAUCCUCCGCCGCGUCCCGCCGCGCCACCUCGCCGCAUGCAGGCGCGUCUGUGCGGACUGGCGCGCCACCAUCGACGCCCGCAGGCUGGUCCUCCCGCACCUCCUGCCGGGCGUGCCGCGCGGCGCCUUCAUCAACGUGGCCGAAAGCUUGCGCGACACCUACUUCUUCGCGCGCGGCGGGCCCGCCAUCGGCUUCGACACCCGUCUCGCCGACGCGCCGACCAGCUGGUGCACCUCCUUCGUGGACCACUGCAACGGGCUCCUCCUGUGCGAGGCCGAUGAGGGCACGCGCUUCAUCUACAACCCGGCCACGCGGAGGUCAGCGGUGCUGCCGCCCGCGCCGAGCUCGGGGCCCCGGGAAGUCGCUUCCGGCGCCUACCUCGUGUUCGAUCCCUUUGUGUCUCUCCACCACGAGGUGCUGGUGCUCCCCGAGUUGCCAGGCGAGCCCCAGCCCCCCGAACCUGCCGACUCACCGCCGCCGCCGCCGUUCAACGUGGGGCGGCUCUUCUUCGCGGACGCAAGAGACUGGCUGUCCUGGGACUCGGAGGACGAACCGCGGAAGCGUGCGAGACCCCGUCAGAGCGAGCACGUCGAGGCGAAGGACACCUUGGGGCUUAUGGAGUGGCCGCCGUCGCCAUACGUGGCGCAAGUGUUCUCGUCCGAGACCGGAAGGUGGAGCGACAGGGCGUUCGUCCGGGAAGGCGGCGCCGCGGGGACGGUGGCCGACAUGUGGUCGGAUCCACUGUCACCCGGCUACGGAAUGGGAUUUGGUCAUUGCCGGCCGCGCCGUCGCCACGCCGUCUACUGGCGGCAAUCGCUAUAUGUCCAUUGCCGCGGUGGUUUCAUCGUCAGGUUGUCGCUGCUGACGGGAAAGUAUGUGGUGAUAAAAACCCCAGGAGUUACCAAAGUCGCCGAGCAUAGGUGGGCUACACCGUACCUGAGCAAGUCUCGGAUGGGGGUUUACUACACCAAUGUCGACUGCCUAAAGUUUCAGGUAUGGGUACUGACCGAGGAAUUACCGACGGCAACGCCGGUGUGGGAGAUGGCGCAUCACGCCGACCUCGAGCCCUCCAUCAGGCAACUCAUACGCAAAAACUUCCAAAACGCACAAAAGUAUUGGGUCCUGGAGGAUCCCAGGAUACUCGAAUCGUCGACGGAGCAGGGAUACCACGAAUGGGACUCUGACAACGACGAUGAUGAUGGCACCAAUGUCGCUGAAGAAGAAGAAGAAGAAGAAGAAGGCGUCGCCCUAGGCUGGUACAUUGGUUGGUUGGAUUUCUUGGGGUAUCAUCCUCGCAAGGAGAUCGUCUUCUUGGGCCACCAGUACGAGCGUCGCGCUUAUGCCUACUACCUGAGCACUUCCAAGCUUGAGUACCUUGGUUAUCUUCGGUUGGCACCACGGGACCAGCGUUUCCCGGCUUGCGUGCAGGAGUCGCACGUGUUUACCCCGUGCAGGAUCGACCUGCUUUAUGAUCAGAAUGGUGUCUCUGUUGAUUUGAGUAAAUGGGUUUCAUAA
RNAcentral lists this ribosomal RNA (1545 nucleotides) under Triticum aestivum (bread wheat). Its description in RNAcentral is "partial small subunit ribosomal RNA". The record is from RNAcentral. Lineage: Eukaryota; Viridiplantae; Streptophyta; Magnoliopsida; Poales; Poaceae.